UGGGGAAUAUUGCACAAUGGGCGCAAGCCUGAUGCAGCCAUGCCGCGUGUAUGAAGAAGGCCUUCGGGUUGUAAAGUACUUUCAGCGGGGACGAAGGUGUUGUGGUUAAUAACCUCAGCAAUUGACGUUACCCGCAGAAGAAGCACCGGCUAACUCCGUGCCAGCAGCCGCGGUAAUACGGAGGGUGCAAGCGUUAAUCGGAAUUACUGGGCGUAAAGCGCACGCAGGCGGUCUGUCAAGUCGGAUGUGAAAUCCCCGGGCUCAACCUGGGAACUGCAUCCGAAACUGGCAGGCUUGAGUCUUGUAGAGGGGGGUAGAAUUCCAGGUGUAGCGGUGAAAUGCGUAGAGAUCUGGAGGAAUACCGGUGGCGAAGGCGGCCCCCUGGACAAAGACUGACGCUCAGGUGCGAAAGCGUGGGGAGCAAACA
This 427-nucleotide ribosomal RNA is filed under the name uncultured bacterium. Its description in RNAcentral is "partial 16S ribosomal RNA". It matches the Rfam family "Bacterial small subunit ribosomal RNA", at positions 355 to 774 of the family's 1533-position model. The record is from RNAcentral.